Molecule: ribosomal RNA, 565 nt
Filed under: uncultured beta proteobacterium
Lineage: Bacteria; Pseudomonadati; Pseudomonadota; Betaproteobacteria
Description: bacterial SSU rRNA
Rfam family: Bacterial small subunit ribosomal RNA
Source: RNAcentral
AGACUUUGAUCCUGGCUCAGAUUGAACGCUGGCGGAAUGCUUUACACAUGCAAGUCGAACGGCAGCACGGGAGCUUGCUCCUGGUGGCGAGUGGCGAACGGGUGAGUAAUGCGUCGGAACGUACCGAGUAAUGGGGGAUAACGCACCGAAAGGUGUGCUAAUACCGCAUACGCCCUGAGGGGGAAAGUGGGGGAUCGCAAGACCUCACGUUAUUCGAGCGGCCGACGUCUGAUUAGCUAGUUGGUGGGGUAAUGGCUCACCAAGGCGACGAUCAGUAGCGGGUCUGAGAGGAUGAUCCGCCACACUGGAACUGAGACACGGUCCAGACUCCUACGGGAGGCAGCAGUGGGGAAUUUUGGACAAUGGGGGCAACCCUGAUCCAGCCAUUCCGCGUGAGUGAAGAAGGCCUUCGGGUUGUAAAGCUCUUUCAGCUGGAACGAAACGGUAUUCACUAAUAUUGGAUGCUAAUGACGGUACCAGCAGAAGAAGCACCGGCUAACUACGUGCCAGCAGCCGCGGUAAUACGUAGGGUGCGAGCGUUAAUCGGAAUUACUGGGCGUAAAGC